Molecule: long non-coding RNA, 607 nt
Filed under: Oryza sativa Indica Group (long-grained rice)
Lineage: Eukaryota; Viridiplantae; Streptophyta; Magnoliopsida; Poales; Poaceae
Description: lncRNA OsMH63_01G035540
Source: RNAcentral
AUGGAGCUUUCCGUGCUUCAGAGAAGACUGGGGGUUUUUGGCUUCUUGGUUCGAGAUCAUCUGGGAUGUGGAGUUCUUGCGGAAGCUGCACGUCUGACUUAUGUACAUGAUGCUAUUUCAGUUGAAGCGGAGGCUUGCCUGGCAGCCCUUCCAGCUGUUGUAGCGCAUGGUAUCACAUCUAUCCUGGUGGAAUCUGAUUUAUCUGUGCUAAUUUCGGCUCUUCAGACUAAUGAGUAUGCCUCUGCUCCUGGUGGGUCCAUCUUCAGGGAGAUCAAAGUCCUUGUUCAGAUGAUCGAUCGACCUUUACCCCUCCUCCUGUUCCAACUUCCAACCCAUCCUCGCAUGAGAGUGCAGGCCGACGCGAGGAGAUUCGCCGGGUUCGUCCAACCAGCACGUGAGACGCCGGUGUUUGCUGGAACUUUCCGUCGCCGUGAAGCACACGCGUGUCGAUUCGCGUCGAUCCGCCGGCUGCCGAAGCGACGUCCGGUCGCUGCGGCGCGCGAUUCGCUCGGUAGUCACUCACAAGAUCAGAGCUGUUGCGGUGCGGAGCUUUUGCUUGGACCAAAGAUAAAAAGGCAAAAUCUUCUCUUGCUCUAAACGGUACUCC